This 253-nucleotide ribosomal RNA is filed under the name uncultured bacterium. Its description in RNAcentral is "partial 16S ribosomal RNA". It matches the Rfam family "Bacterial small subunit ribosomal RNA", at positions 524 to 776 of the family's 1533-position model. The record is from RNAcentral.
UACGUAGGUGGCAAGCGUUGUUCGGAAUAACUGGGCGUAAAGGAUGCGUAGGCGGUUAAACAAGUUAUAUGUUAAAUAUAUAGGCUUAACCUGUAGAAAGCAUAUAAAACUGUUUAACUAGAGUGCAGGAGAGGUAAGUGGAAUUCCUAGUGUAGCGGUGAAAUGCGUAGAGAUUAGGAAGAACACCAGUGGCGAAGGCGACUUACUGGACUGUAACUGACGCUGAGGCAUGAGAGCAUGAGGAGCAAACAGG